GACGUAGGGCGCGAGCGUUGUCCGGAUUUAUUGGGCGUAAAGAGCUCGUAGGCGGCUUGUCGCGUCGUCCGUGAAAACCUGGGGCUCAACCCCAGGCUUGCGGUCGAUACGGGCAGGCUCGAGUUCGGUAGGGGAGACUGGAAUUCCUGGUGUAGCGGUGAAAUGCGCAGGUAUCAGGAGGAACACCGGUGGCGAAGGCGGGUCUCUGGGCCGAUACUGACGCUGAGGAGCGAAAGCGUGGGGAGCGAACAGG
RNAcentral lists this ribosomal RNA (253 nucleotides) under uncultured bacterium. RNAcentral describes it as "partial 16S ribosomal RNA". It matches the Rfam family "Bacterial small subunit ribosomal RNA", at positions 524 to 776 of the family's 1533-position model. The record is from RNAcentral.